GACGAACGCUGGCGGCGUGCUUAACACAUGCAAGUCGUACGGUAAGGCCCUUUCGGGGGUACACGAGUGGCGAACGGGUGAGUAACACGUGAGUAACCUGCCCACAACUUUGGGAUAACGCUAGGAAACUGGUGCUAAUACUGGAUAUGUGCCCCUGCUGCAUGGUGGGGGUUGGAAAGCUCCGGCGGUUGUGGAUGGACUCGCGGCCUAUCAGCUUGUUGGUGGGGUAGUGGCCUACCAAGGCGGCGACGGGUAGCCGGCCUGAGAGAGUGACCGGCCACAGUGGGACUGAGAGACGGCCCAGACGCCGACGGGAGGAAGAAGUGGGGAAGAUUGCACAAUGGGCGCAAGCCUGAUGCAGAAACGCCGCGUGCGGGAUGACGGCCUUCGGGUUGGAAACCGCUUUCAGCAGGGACGAAGCUUUUUGUGACGGUACCUGCAGAAGAAGCACCGGCUAACUACGUG
Molecule: ribosomal RNA, 465 nt
Filed under: uncultured bacterium
Lineage: Bacteria
Description: partial 16S ribosomal RNA
Rfam family: Bacterial small subunit ribosomal RNA
Source: RNAcentral